CUGGGGACCACCCUUUCACACAUUGUUCUAUACAAAUAUAUACAUAAUUUAGCAAAAAUGAAAUCAUAUUUACAGACUGUUUUUAUUGUGCCUAAGUUCAACAGCAUCAAAAGCAUUUUUAGGUACUUCAGGCGGCUGUAAACUAAAAAUAAUCAUUUUUGUCAGAUACUGUAUCAUCUUUAUACACAUAUAUUUCAACCUCAUGAAUGUUCAUUACGUUUUUAAAUGUUUUGUCCAUGCUGGCGAACCUUAGAUGGACUCUGCUUUAAAUAAGUGCUUCUCACAGUGAAAUGCACAAUAUCUUAAUAUUAAUCAUUAUCAAGGUAUAUCUCAUUAAUAAUGUACAUUUCACAGUGCCAAGCGAGAAUGACCUCAUUACUCUAAAGGAUUCCUGGAAGUCUGAGUCACAAGCAUAAGUGACAAGAGCUACAGGGUUGGGCUGUGGUGGUUGUGGAGACUUCCUGGCUGAAACAGGGACUGGACUACAAAGACAUGUUAGGGCAGACAGCUUAGGACUUACAUGGUGACACAAUGAUGCCAUAAAGGAUCCAGCCUCUUUCCAUUCUGCCAUCCUCGCUCUGCCAUCCUCGGCAUGUAGACCUUUGUUCUCCUGUUUAUUGCUUAUGACUGAACUUCGGCUGCUGUACCUCUGGCAUCACCUUCCUCCAGGAAGAAAGACAGGUGGAGGGCAAGGAUGAGCUCUGGUCUGCAGAACAUGUCCAUCUAACAGCUUUCCUGGAAGCCCCAGUAGCAACUUCAACUGGGUUUCAACUUCAUUUCACUGGCUAGAACUAUGUCAAAUGGCGCUCCUGGAUGUAAGGGAGUCUGAAAAAGUAUUUUUAGCUAGAAUUAAGGUUCCAUUAGGAUGACUAGAUACUGGGUAGAAAAAGAGAAGGGUCUGCUGAGUCAUAGCAAGCUGUCCUUAUUCCAUGACAAGAAAUAGAGGGGACUUCACUCUUAUUUCAGAAGAGCAUUGAGAGGCUAUGGCUAAGAUACGGCUUAAAGGGGACGCAGACCUUCCGCACAACAACAACAAAACCAGCGCGCUCGCGGCCGGCGCCUCGGCUCUGGUCCCCGCC
This 1079-nucleotide long non-coding RNA is filed under the name Equus asinus (donkey). RNAcentral's name for it is "lncRNA (ENSEASG00005034915.1)". The record is from RNAcentral. Lineage: Eukaryota; Metazoa; Chordata; Mammalia; Perissodactyla; Equidae.